Molecule: ribosomal RNA, 253 nt
Filed under: uncultured bacterium
Lineage: Bacteria
Description: partial 16S ribosomal RNA
Rfam family: Bacterial small subunit ribosomal RNA
Source: RNAcentral
UACAGAGGUCCCAAGCGUUGUUCGGAUUCACUGGGCGUAAAGGGUGCGUAGGCGGUCUGGUAAGUCUGACGUGAAAUCUCCGGGCCUAACCCGGAAACUGCGUCGGAUACUAUUCGGCUAGAGGAUUGGAAGGGAGACUGGAAUACUUGGUGUAGCAGUGAAAUGCGUAGAUAUCAAGUGGAACACCAGUGGCGAAGGCGAGUCUCUGGACAAUUCCUGACGCUGAGGCACGAAAGCCAGGGGAGCAAACGGG